GUACCGUGAGGGAAAGGUGAAAAGAACCCAGGGAUGGGUAGUGAAAUAGACCUGAAACCGUAUACUUACAAAAAGUUAGAGCCCGUUAAAGGGUAAUAGCGUGCCUUUUGUAGAAUGAACCGGCGAGUUACGAUUGCAUGCAAGGUUAAGUAGAAGAUAUGGAGCCAUAGCGAAAGCGAGUCUUAAUAGGGCGUAAGUAUGUAGUUGUAGACCCGAAACCAGGUGAUCUAGCCAUGGCCAGGUUGAAGUUUAGGUAACACUAAAUGGAGGACCGAACCUACGCACGUUGAAAAGUGCGAGGAUGAGCUGUGGUUAGGGGUGAAAUUCCAAUCGAACCUGGAGAUAGCUGGUUCUCCCCGAAAUAGCUUUAGGGCUAGCCUCGCGAGAGAUAUCAAAUGGAGGUAGAGCACUGAAUGUAUGAUGGCCCCGUCUUGGGGUACUGAGUAUAAUCAAACUCCAAAUGCCAUAAUGAUAGUCGCGGGAGUCAGACUGUGGGUGAUAAGGUCCAUGGUCAAAAGGGAAACAGCCCAGAUCACCAGCUAAGGUCCCAAAGUAUAUGCUAAGUGGAAAAGGAUGUGUAGUUGCACAGACAGCUAGGAGGUUGGCUUAGAAGCAGCCAUCCUUGAAAGAGUGCGUAACAGCUCACUAGUCGAGUGACUAUGCGCCGAAAAUUUACCGGGGCUAAGCAUAACACCGAAGCUGUGGACAGGACAACUGUGGUAGGGGAGCGUUCUAAUAGAGAAGAAGCCAUACCGUAAGGAGUGAGUGGAUUUAUUAGAAGAGAGAAUGCCGGUGUGAGUAGCGAAUAAAGGUGAGAAUCCUUUACACCGAAUGACAAAGGAUUCCUGGGGAAGGCUCGUCCGCCCAGGGUAAGUCGGGACCUAAGGCGAGGCUGAAAAGCGUAGUCGAUGGACAGCAGGUAGAUAUUCCUGCACCGCUAAUAACAAAUGAUGGAGUGACAAAGAAGGCUAGGUUGAGCUAGCGAGAUGGAUGUUAGUUGUGAUAAAAAUAGCUGCUAUGCAGGCAAAUCCGCAUAGAGGAAGUAAAAUAUCAUGGGAAGACAAGCUAAGGCGAGUCGAAGCAACCAAAGCCAGCUUUCAAGAAAAGCUUCUAGUGCAAAAAAGUUAAAGCGCCCGUACCGAGAACGAACACACGUAGUCAGGAAGAGAAUUCCGAGGUGAGCAAGAGAACCAUUGUUAAGGAACUCGGCAAAAAGACUCCGUAACUUAGGGAGAAGGAGUGCUUAUAGAGAUAUAAGCCGCAGAGAAUAGGCCCAAGCGACUGUUUAGCAAAAACAUAGCUCUCUGCCAAGUCGCAAGACGAAGUAUAGGGGGUGACGCCUGCCCGGUGCUGGAAGGUUAAGGGGAAAUGUAAGUUAAUAAACGAAGCAUAGAACCGAAGCCCCAGUAAACGGCGGCCGUAACUAUAACGGUCCUAAGGUAGCGAAAUUCCUUGUCGGGUAAGUUCCGACCCGCACGAAAGGCGUAACGAUUUGGGCACUGUCGCACUGUCUCAACAAUGGACUUGGUGAAAUCUUAGUACCUGUGAAGAUGCAGGUUACCCGCGACAAGACGGAAAGACCCCAUGGAGCUUUACUGUAGCUUGAUAUUGGGAUUUGAUUUAUUAUGUACAGGAUAGGUGGGAGCAGAAGAGAUAGACACGUCAGUGUGUAUUGAUGCGAUGUUGGGAUACCACCCUUGAUACAUUGAAUCUCUAACUAGAGGCACUAAGCGUGUCAUAGGACAGUGUCUGGUGGACAGUUUGACUGGGGCGGUCGCCUCCUAAAGAGUAACGGAGGCGCCCAAAGGUACCCUCAGCAUGGAUGGAAAUCAUGCAAAGAGUGCAAUGGCAAAAGGGUGCUUGACUGCGAGAGCAACAACUCGAGCAGGGACGAAAGUCGGGCAUAGUGAUCCGGCGGUGCUGAAUGGAAAGGCCGUCGCUCAACGGAUAAAAGCUACCCUGGGGAUAACAGGCUGAUCUUGCCCAAGAGUU
Molecule: ribosomal RNA, 1992 nt
Filed under: termite gut metagenome
Description: bacterial LSU rRNA
Rfam family: Bacterial large subunit ribosomal RNA
Source: RNAcentral